UGCCUAAUACAUGCAAGUCGAGCGGACUGAUGGGRGCUUGCUCCCUGAAGUCCGCGGCGGACGGGUGACUAACACGUGGGUAACCUGCCUGUAAGACUGGGAUAACUCCGGGAAACCGGGGCUAAUACCGGAUAGUUCUUUUCCUCGCAUGAGGAAAAGUGGAAAGGCGGCUUCGGCUGCCACUUACAGAUGGACCCGCGGCGCAUUAGCUAGUUGGUGAGGUAACGGCUCACCAAGGCAACGAUGCGUAGCCGACCUGAGAGGGUGAUCGGCCACACUGGGACUGAGACACGGCCCAGACUCCUACGGGAGGCAGCAGUAGGGAAUCUUCCGCAAUGGACGAAAGUCUGACGGAGCAACGCCGCGUGAGUGAUGAAGGAUUUCGGAUCGUAAAGCUCUGUUCUUAGGGAAGAACAAGUGCCGUUCGAAUAGGGCGGCCCCUUGACGGUACCUAACCAGAAAGCCACGGCUAACUACGUGCCAGCAGCCGCGGUAAUACGUAGGUGGCAAGCGUUGUCCGGAAUUAUUGGGCGUAAAGCGCGCGCAGGCGGUCUCUUAAGUCUGAUGUGAAAGCCCACGGCUCAACCGUGGAGGGUCAUUGGAAACUGGGGGACUUGAGUACAGAAGAGGAAAGUGGAAUUCCACGUGUAGCGGUGAAAUGCGUAGAUAUGUGGAGGAACACCAGUGGCGAAGGCGACUUUCUGGUCUGUAACUGACGCUGAGCGCGAAGCGUGGGGAGCAAAC
Molecule: ribosomal RNA, 744 nt
Filed under: Bacillus sp. SP46
Lineage: Bacteria; Bacillati; Bacillota; Bacilli; Caryophanales; Bacillaceae
Description: bacterial SSU rRNA
Rfam family: Bacterial small subunit ribosomal RNA
Source: RNAcentral